GGGUAUAGCCAGAUCCCAGCUAAGGCCCCAAAUAACUGCUAAGUGAUAAAGGAUGUGUUGAUACUUUGACAACCAGGAGGUUAGCUUAGAAGCAGCUAUCCUUUAAAAAGUGCGUAAUAGCUUACUGGUCAAGUGCCUUCGCGCCAAUAAUGUAUGGGACUAAGUAGUUUGCCGAAGCUGUGAGUUAAAAUCGGUAGGAGAGCGUUCUGAUUGGGUUGAAGUAAUAAUGAAAAUAAUUAUGGACUUUUCAGAAGUGAGAAUGUCGGCUUAAGUAACGAAAACAUUGGUGAAAAUCCAAUGCUCCGAAAACCUAAGGUUUCCUUUGGAAGGUUCGUCCACGAAGGGUUAGUCAGAUUCUAAAAAAAGGCCCAAAGGCAUAUUUGAUGAACAACAGGUUAAUAUUCCUGUACUACAUUUGAAUUUGACUAAGAGAGACAAAGAAGGCUAGGUUAGCCAAAGAUUGGUAGUUUUGGUUUAAAAUUUCAAGACUUUGAGAAACAUUACAAAAAAUGUUUUGAGUUAAGAAACGAAUACGAAAAUACUACGGUAUUGAAGUAACUGAUGUCAUACUUUCAAGAAAAUCUAUUGCAGUCGGUGGUUCAAUGUAUCUGUACCGUAAACUGACACAGGUGGGUAAGUAGAGUAUACUAAGGAGCGCGAGAUAACCCUUUUUAAGGAACUCGGCAAAAUAGCCUUGUAACUUCGGGAGAAAAGGUGCCUUAAUAAAUUAAGGUUGCAGUGAUCAGAUCCAGGCGACUGUUUACCAAAAACACAGGUCUCUGCUAAGUUGAAAAACGAUGUAUAGGGGCUGACGCCUGCCCAGUGCUGGAAGGUUAAUAAAGCUGGUUAGCAAUAGCGAAGCUAGUAAUUUAAGCCCCAGUGAACGGCAGCCGUAAAUAUAACGGUUCUAAGGUAGCGAAAUUCCUUGUCGGGUAAGUUCCGACCUGCACGAAAGGCGUAACGAUCUGGAAACUGUCUCAAAAAGGGACUCGGUGAAAUAGAACUAACUGUGAAGAUGCGGUUAACUUGCACUUGGACAGAAAGACCCUAUAAAGCUUUAAUGUAAUUUAACAUUGUUUUCGGACUUUUUUUGCGCAGCAUAGGUGGGAGGCGUUGAUUCUUUCUUUCGGGAAAAGAUGAGCCAUUAGUGAGAUACCACUCUGAGAAAGUUAGAAAUCUAAUGAUGUUUCUUAUAUCAGAACAUUUGACAGUGUUAGACGGGCAUUUUUACUGGGGCGGUAGCCUCCUAAAAGGUAACGGAGGCGCACAAAGGUUUUCUCAGACUGGACGGAAAUUUGUUUUAGAGUGUAAAGGCAAAAGAAAGCUUAACUGUUAGACUAACAAGUCAAGCAGAGACGAAAGUCGGUCUUAUUGAUCCGACGAUACUGAAUGUAAAGGUCGUCGCUUAACGGAUAAAAGUUACUUUAGGGAUAACAGGCUGAUCUCCUCCAAGAGUUCACAUCGACGAGGAGGUUUGGCACCUCGAUGUCGGCUCAUCGCAACCUGGAGCGGUAGUACGUUCCAAGGGUCGGGCUGUUCGCCCGUUAAAGCGGUACGUGAGCUGGGUUCAGAACGUCGUGAGACAGUUCGGUCCAUAUCCGGUGCGAGCGUUAGAGUAUUGAAAGGAGCUUUUUCUAGUACGAGAGGACCGAAAAAGACACACCUCUGGUGUACCAGUUCUCAUGCCAAUGGGACAUGCUGGGUAGUCAAGUGUGGAGUGGAUAACUGC
RNAcentral lists this ribosomal RNA (1729 nucleotides) under Phacus textus. RNAcentral describes it as "bacterial LSU rRNA". It matches the Rfam family "Bacterial large subunit ribosomal RNA", at positions 1018 to 2771 of the family's 2925-position model. Lineage: Eukaryota; Euglenozoa; Euglenophyceae; Euglenales; Phacaceae. The record is from RNAcentral.